Molecule: ribosomal RNA, 612 nt
Filed under: uncultured bacterium
Lineage: Bacteria
Description: bacterial SSU rRNA
Rfam family: Bacterial small subunit ribosomal RNA
Source: RNAcentral
CCUACGGGAGGCAGCAGUGGGGAAUUUUGGACAAUGGGCGAAAGCCUGAUCCAGCAAUGCCGCGUGAGUGAAGAAGGCCUUCGGGUUGUAAAGCUCUUUUGUCAGGGAAGAAACGGUGAGAGCUAAUAUCUCUUGCUAAUGACGGUACCUGAAGAAUAAGCACCGGCUAACUACGUGCCAGCAGCCGCGGUAAUACGUAGGGUGCAAGCGUUAAUCGGAAUUACUGGGCGUAAAGCGUGCGCAGGCGGUUUUAGAAGUCUGAUGUGAAAUCCCCGGGCUCAACCUGGGAAUUGCAUUGGAGACUGCAAGGCUAGAAUCUGGCAGAGGGGGGUUAGAAUUCCACGUGUAGCAGUGAAAUGCGUAGAUAUGUGGAGGAACACCGGAUGGCGAAGGCAGCCCCCUGGGUCAAGAUUGACGCUCAUGCACGAAAGCGUGGGGAGCAAACAGGAUUAGAUACCCUGGUAGUCCACGCCCUAAACGAUGUCUACUAGUUGUCGGGUCUUAAUUGACUUGGUAACGCAGCUAACGCGUGAAGUAGACCGCCUGAGGNGUACGGUGCAAGNUUAAAACCGNGAAAGAUGACGNUGAGAGNGCGAGAGACGAGAGGAGAGG